GAUGAAGAACGCAGCGAAAUGCGAUACGUAAUGUGAAUUGCAGAAUUCAGUGAAUCAUCGAGUCUUUGAACGCACAUUGCGCCCCUUGGUAUUCCGGGGGGCAUGCCUCUUCCAGCGUCAUUUCACCCCUCAAGCUCUGCUUGGUUUUGGGCCGCGCCGGCAACGGCGGGCCUCGAAAAUAGUGGCGACGCCAUCGUGCUCUCAGCGUAGUAAUUCUUCUCGCUGUUGGGUCCCGGUGGUCGUCCGCCAGCAACCCCCAACUUUCUUAAGUUUGACCUGGGAUGAGGUAGGGAUACCCGCUGAACUUAAGCAUAUCAAUAAGCGGAGGA
Molecule: unclassified non-coding RNA, 329 nt
Filed under: soil metagenome
Description: partial contains 5.8S ribosomal RNA, internal transcribed spacer 2, and large subunit ribosomal RNA
Rfam family: 5.8S ribosomal RNA (bases 1-120)
Source: RNAcentral